GGUUCCUACGGGACGCAGCAGUGAGGAAUAUUGGUCAAUGGGAGAGAUCCUGAACCAGCCAAGCCGCGUGAGGGAAGACGGCCCUAUGGAUUGUAAACCUCUUUUGUCGGGGAGCAAAGAGACCACGUGUGGUCAAAAGCGAGAGUACCCGAAGAAAAAGCAUCGGCUAACUCCGUGCCAGCAGCCGCGGUAAUACGGAGGAUGCGAGCGUUAUCCGGAUUUAUUGGGUUUAAAGGGUGCGUAGGCGGGACGGUAAGUCAGCGGUAAAAAUGCGGAGCUCAACUCCGUCGAGCCGUUGAAACUGU
This 305-nucleotide ribosomal RNA is filed under the name uncultured bacterium. RNAcentral describes it as "bacterial SSU rRNA". It matches the Rfam family "Bacterial small subunit ribosomal RNA", at positions 334 to 636 of the family's 1533-position model. The record is from RNAcentral.